AUUUUUCUAGAUUUGAACUGUAGAAGGUCUCUUAAAAUUCUCUCUCUUCUUCUCUUUCCUGCUCAAUCUCUCUCUCUCUCUCUCUCUCUCUCUCUCUCUCUCUCUCUCGCUCUCGCACAUCCACGGAUUACUGUGCUGUCUGCCACUCGCCGGAGCCCCCACCGGCGACGCUAUAACAGCAACAACUCUCUCUGGCCUUCCUCCUCUCCCAUCAUGGUCGCUCGGCGCCUCAGCGAGCACCCAACCACCCUAUCCAGCGACCUUUUCCCGCGACUGCAAAACACUGGCAACUACGUCGAUGUUGAUUCCAGCCGGCACCUCAACCUUGAUCGAUGCUCCAGCGCCCACCUUAGUUGAUCCGACCACUGCCUCCUAGAAGAGUUCCCGAUCCUUUGGUGGUCGGGCCUUGGCCGGACAACCAUCGUACAAGCUCCAGUGACUUGAUCUUCCUCCAACGUUGCAAACCGAUAUGAACUCAAUCGGUUCUUCCUUGAUUGCAAAUCGACAGUUCGACUGGCGAGGAUCCGACUUCUGGCGAUCCACGAGAUCCAUCUGACAAUCCUCGAGGUUCGUAAGGUGAUUUGGAGUUUUGAUUCUCGAUCGUUCGUGUUCCAUUGUCGAAAUCGCAGAAGGUAAUAAAUCGAAUUUUGAAUCCAAUGAAGCGAGAUUAAAAUAGUCAAUUGGGGCUAGGAUUCAAACUUAGGAUCAUAUUUCAUGCUUAGAUCCGAAAAUUUGGAUGUUGUAUGAUGAUAUGUGAUGAGAUUAUGUUGAUUGAGGAUGAGUUUAAGUAUAAUUGUUCAUGAUUUACCUCGUUUUGCAAAAAUUGCAUGUUGAUAAGUGACCAUGUCAAGGCUGAUUUGAGAUGUUAAACCUCGUUAUUUGGCCUCGAGCUGUUUUAGAUGUAUGAUUUAUAUUUGACAAGCUUUGAUUUGAUAGAUUAUAAACCCCAAAUGGAGAUCGCUUGAUACCUGAAUUACGCCUCAAAAUUUGGUUUGUGCAAUAUUUUGCUGUUCCGACUUCUAUAGAUUUCUAUGUUGAUUUUGGAAAUAGUUUCUUCAUGAAAGUUGUAUGAAUAUCUCUUGAUUAUAUCAUAUCUUUUUUUCAGAAUUUGUGAGUUGUUUUGGUUAGGCAAAACCUUAAAAAAAUCUUCCCUAGGUCAUUUUGUCUUGGUUUGAGUUCAACCUAUAUUUGCCUUGAAAUGAGGUCUUAAAUGUGUUCAUUUGAAUUGACAUCCUUCAUGAAAUUUGUAGUAUGCAUUACAAGUUUUUUGACUGGUAUGAUUUGCGUCAAAUGAUCAUCAUUUACUAGGUCAAUCGCACAUGUGAAGACAUGCUCAUGCUAUUGCAUUUUAUGAAGUGGAUUGCAUUGUUCUAUUUUGCCAUUUUUGUGGGGGAUUGUGUGAAUCAAAUUAGACUUAGGUGUUUAAUGGAAUUAACCGUGACAUUGCAUUCUAUAUCUAGAAUUUUUCAUAAGAUUUUAGCAUGUCGUUAAAUCAUUGAAAAUGACUCAUGUUUUGCGAUAUCUUUAUUGUGAUAAAAAGUUGAUCACGAACCUAUGAAAAUGUCCUUAUUUAACAUAUCAUAACUGAAAAUUUCCUUAAUGACAAAUCACCUUUUAAUGUUAAUAAAUUCACAUGACUUUUUGCACUUCGAUUUAGAGUUAAAUGUCUUCACCAAAUUUGAUCAUCACAUUAGCUCUGGGAUGUGUGUGAAUUUUAUAUUUUUAUGCAUUGUUUAGGUGGCUUGACAAGCCAAUCAUCAUGCAUCAUUUUCUGAUUUGUUCAUGGCUGAUUUGCACACUUAUGCGAUUGUCACUUUUCAACCAUAAAUUCGACCUUAAUCGGACUCAACACCCCUUAAAAAGUCUCAGGACACAUCUUAAUCCUUCCGAUGACACCAAUUUUGUAUUAUUUGUAUAUCAUUUAACCCAUUUUCUAUUUUUGCCAAGUUUAUUUAGAAAUUUGUUUCUAGUGAAAUUCGAAAUGCCCAUUUUGCUUUAGUUGAGUUAGACCUCUUGUUAUUUUUGCAUCUUUUUCUCGUUAAGGAUUCUAAGAUCGGGUCCUUAACAAAAUUUGUUUGUCUUUCUCUUUUAUAUGUUGUGAUGAAAGUUUAGAUUUUUCAAAUUUUGUUUACAAGGGAAAAUCAUUAUUGAUCAGCCAUGAUACCUUGCUGUCUUGUUACAUUUAUGAUGUUGUGCUGUGUGUUCUUGAAUUUUUAUAAAUUCCUUAAUAGCUCAUCUAAGAAAACUCUCUUCACGAAAAUUGUUCCUUGUGACGUUAUUGAUGUUAUGCAAUUUUCUAGGAGACGAUUAUCAAUGAGUUCCUUUUCGAUUGUUCUGAUCUUAUCUACCCUGUUCUAUGAUCUUUGCUGUGAUUCUCUGCUGUGAUUUUCUUUUACAAUGUUUUAGGACAUUUCGCAUGCUGAAUCAAAUUCACAUGUCCUCACAAGAUUUGAUCCUUACCUUCCGAACUUCGUACACGAAAAUUCUUGAAAAAUAAAAAGUACUUUACCAUGCUUUUCAUACGUUUUGAAUGUUGUGAAAUCAAUCUGAAUUUUCAUAUUCUUGUUGAUUUGCACUUGGUUUUCGUUCAAAUGAUGCUUAUGCAUAAAAUUUUCAAAACUUCAUGUUGUGCUUUGCAUUUUAAAUUUCCAAAUCAUGUUUUGGCUUGGCAAUGAUGUUAUCUAGGUUUGGACUAUAUUUACGACUUCUUCGAAGCUCGAUCAAAGUGCACAGGAUGCGCUCAAGUUAGCUUUGAGAUUUAAUGUGUUCCAUAGCCGUGAUGCAACUUUGCUAUGCCAUUAACAAAUUUUCCUUACAAUUUCACUAUCUAAUUUUUCUUUAAUGAUUUUUUAGCAUCAUUUGAAGUUCCCUUAGUUUUUGAUGUGUUUACUCUAGUCAAAUGCCUAUAAUUGUAUUUGCUAUUGGUUGAAUGAAUGAAUGAUCUAGUGUCUCACUGAAAUUACUUGAUUGAUUGAAAACCAAGGCCUGAGAGCCUACCUGCAUGUUUACUUUUAAAUAUGCAUAUGAUUUUUAAUUGUAUGCACGAGUGCGAUACAUGAACCCGUGGGAUAUCCUCGGGACACACUUAGAACUUGUUUUAGGGGCUUUUUAGCGCUUGUUGCCACGUGAGAAUGCAUAUGGUGAUCAAUAACUAUAAGUCAUAAAAAAUGAAUUGGGGUAAAUGUCCCAAAGGAAUUAUCGUAUGAAUUGCAAAGGUCGACCCCAAUGCCAAUUUUGAUCAAUUUUGCAUAUUGUUUUAAUUCCAUGAUUGUUCUUGUUUGUUUUGUGAUUGUGAUUGUUUUUGUAUGUUUGUAAUGUUGAUUGUUUCUUUCAUCUUGUAUGUACCUAGUCUUAGCAUUAGAUUAGGCUUAGAAUAGGUCCAUGGAGGUGGUGGCCCCUAAGAUGUGAAGAUGAUAAAUGGUCGAUGUCUAAUCGAACCUUGUUAUUGUACCACUUGUUUCCCGAUAUAUGCUUGAGGUUGUCUCGUGUUGUAUAAAUACCCGACAAGAGGUGGGUUUGUUUCUUUGGAUUUACUUUUUGUUUAGGCUUGCAUGUUAAAUUUACUACUUUCCUUAAACUGCUUUCUUGGGUGUUUACUUCAACACCGUCUUUAGAUUCCAAAUUGAUUGUUUUCUUUCUUUUUCUUUUGAUAGAAAUACAAUUGCAUUAAAUUGACUCUCCAUGCAUGAUCACCUAGUUAGUUUCAUUGGCAUGAAAAAGUUUUUUUAAAAAAAAAAAGUAUGCAUAGACACCUUAGAAAACAUAACAAACUAUCAGGUACCGAAGAUUAUAUAAAUAUUAACGUAACCUAAGUUCAUGAACCUGAAAAUUUCUAGUUGCAUAGAUUUUGACGGACCACUCCUAACCCUCAUUUGGGUUUUCUAGCUUACUCCCAAAAAUGAGGCUAGUGGCAACUCCUAACUCUUAGCUAGGUUGUCUUAAUCAACUCAUAGAUAAUAAAUGAAUCCGUCAUGAGGGAUAUGGAUUUCGACAAGAUUCAUCGUAGUUUAGCAUACCCAAUAUGGAAAUCUCCUAAAAGAUGAAGUAAUGCCAUCCUUGUUGAUGAGAGUACUAUUGGGGGGCUACUACAGUAACAAAACUCCUAAAUUCGAUAUUCACACCCGAUCUCAUUUUUCAAGGUGUAUCAUUCGUGUGGAUACGAAUCAUGACAACUUCCGUUAUCAUGCGAGGUAUGAGCUUGAGAGAGCUCACAACUAUGAUCAAGCAACUCACAAUAGUCAAUCUUGAAAGAUGAAGUGAUAACAUCUUUUGGGACGCAUACCAAUGAGGGAGCUCUUAUGGUCAAGUACCUCUAAACUCGACUUUUCUCCCUUGGGAGACAAAGGGGUUGGGUCAUGACCAUUAUUAAUUGAGUUGAAUAUUCAAAUAUCUUAAAUAGAAAGAUUGUUUUGAAUAAGAAAUUAGAGAGAACUUGAAUUAUAUUUCAAUAUGGUGUUAAAUAGGUGUUUAACAAAUGAAAGAUUGCAUGCAUAGUAACAAUUGAAUUAUUGCAUAGAUCACAUCCAUGUUAUGUUGAAAUGCUUGUUAAGAGGUGAUGGUAAAAUCUCAUAUAAGAGAUUUGUUAUAAUUUAAAAUAAUUGAUAUAUACUAGUUCACUAUAAAAUAUUGGUUCAAGUUUUAAGUGAAUGUAAAUCUAGUUCGAUAUAUUGAUGGAUUUAGACUUGGGUUUUGUCCUAGUAAUUUCCUCAUAUGAAGAUGUUGGACUUGUUUGACAAAAUGACAAUAUUUUUCAAUUUUGAGCUGAAACCUAAGAAUGAAUGUCCUUUGGAAAGGAAAACCUAUUUUAAUAUUCCAAAAUAGACAUGCACUAUUGGAGCGCUAGUGACUUGGGCACGAACAACUAGGGAAUGUGGCACAAGCACUAGGUCCUCGGCACAGCCUUUAUAGACCCAAACACGGGUACCAAGGACUCAACACGAGUACCAUGGUCUCAAGUAGAAGAACCAUGGUCCUGGGUCUAUGAAAGUUGAGCUUAAGACCUUAGUACCCUUACUCGAUUCCCUAACGCUUGUGCCUAGUUCUCCAAUGCUCAAGUCUUGAUCCAUGGAGGCCAUGCGCAAGGCCACAAAGAUGGAACUUAAGACUAGUGCUUGCACCAAGUGCUCAACAGCUAGGCCCGCAUCCAUCAUGGCAAAGCCUAGAUUCAUGGAGGCUGUGGUUGAUACCUCAACAUUGAGGCUCAAGUGCAUCGAGGUUGGGCCCAUGAUCCUGUGGCCUGCACCUUGAUCUCAAUGCUUGGGCUCAGGUCCAUUGAGGCCAAGCCCGAGACCCUAAGAGUGCUCCAUGCUCAAGAUCAAUGAACCUAAGCUAGGACCUCACCUUUAAAGACCUUGGUUUGGGCUAGGAGCUCAGCUAUAGGGAUCGUAAACCUAAUGUUGAUGGACCUAGGUUUGAUUGUUGACUUCUAUGGACUUGGGCUUGGGCACUUGGUACCCAAGCAUGGCACCAACAUACCAAAUCUAGCCAUAAUGGAAUUGGGCUCUACUUUGAUGGACUUGGGCUCGGGAUGUCUUGGGCACAGUAUCGACAUCUCGAGCCCAACCUUUGUGGACCUAGGAAUGAUCGCUAGGGUCUUGGGUCUCUCGAUGGACUAGGGUCUCAAGCACAAGCACUAGGGUCUAGUCAAUGAGGUCUAGGCCUGACAACUUUAAAGCUCAGCCUUUAUGGACUUAAGCCUAGGCAUUAAGGACUUGGGCUCGACCCCUAUGGACCUAGACACGAGCAUCAAUGUCUUGAGCUUUACCUUUAUAGACCUAGGCUUAGGCGUCAGGGUCCUAAGUUAGGCCUCUAAUGACUUAAGCCCAAUAGUCAAGCGACUCAGCAUAGGCACCAUGGUCCUAGGCCUGGCUUCUUUGGAUUGUAGCUAGGCUCAAUGGACCUGACUUUGGCCUCUAGACUUGAAAAUAAGCAUUGGUGUUAAUACCUAAUUUUAGUUGAUGCAUCAAUGUAGAAAACUCAAGAUUAGAGUUUAUGAUCGCGAUGAAGCCUGUUUCUUGGAUAAAAAGUGACAUUUUUCGUUUUUUUUCUUUUGUCUUGUCAUUUUUUAGCAAUUUCCCAUUCAUUUUUUUUAUCAAAAACUAGAGAGGUUAAAUGGUUGGUUUUUGAGUUGACUUUUUGGUCAAUCCUUUGAUCAAAAGUCGAACCCAAGUCAAAAGUUGACUUUUUGCAUAAAAGAUUCUUUUAGUCCUAACAAAAUUGGAGUUACAUUAGUUUUCAAAAAUUUCAAAGAUUUGAUCAUAAAAUCAGCAUUUAAGAAAUGUCAACUACUUUUGGUUAAACCUUUGACAAAAAAAAUAGAAAAACACAAAAAUCCAUGAAUCAAUUUGUUUUUAUCCCAAUUUGACUUAAGCAUCAAGAUUUUUGCGAAAAUUGAUUAAGAAACUUGUUUUCUGAAUUUUUCAGUUUUGGGUUUAAAAUCGACCAAAAAUAAAAUUACUUUCAUUCCAGUUAUAAUUAAGCUUAAUUCCUUUUACGACAUUUAAUAUAUAGAUCAUUACCCAUUCACUCAUGCAAUCAAUUUUGAGAUCAGGCACGUCGAAAUAUGGAUUCUCACUUUUAGCCCUAAUUAGGGGGUUCAAAUAGAUUUUACAUGAUUUAUGAUUUGCGAAUGUACGCUUCCAUUCCAUUCGUUUUUAUGAGAUAAGUACGAGUUCGAGAUCAAUUUUGAGGAGUUCUUUUGAGAACUUCUCAAUAUAUGAGGGAUUUAGCCUUCUUAGACAUAAGAAAUUCAAGCUAAUUAACUCAAGUUGACCUAUUUGAGACUAAGAUUUAAUUUUGAGAAUUAAGACUCAAUUUUACCAUUAAACCUCUAUUCAAUAUUAUCAUAAAAGUCGCACAAUCAAUUUAAAGUCAAUUUGGAUAUAAUGAGUCACCCUAGGUAUUGAGCAAUUGGUCUAAUAGGUGUUUUGCAAUUUUAAUUGAAUUCAAGUUCAAUUGAUUUACAAUUUGGAGCAAAAAAUUAGAAAAAAAUUGUCUAACUUAGCCUGGAAAAUCCAAUCAUAUGUACCCAUGGUGUAAGUCCAAUAUUAUUCAUGUUAAUGAAGUAAUCAAGCCAAUGGAAAAUUACAAGAUUGCGUUUAUAUGUUUUAAUUGGCCUAAUUUUCAUCAAAAUUAGACCGUUUCUCUUUAAAUUGAAACGUCAUUCCUCAAAUUAGACAAGAUUUCCUUUCAAUUUAGCCCUUGAAGGAUAGACUGAAUUACAUAGAAUUUAGAAACCCAAUGAUCGAACUGCCCGAAAGACUGAACUGGCUGAACUAGUGUGAACUGGUUCGAUUGAUUCAACCGACCAUUGCUAGAGGUGACCGUUUUGGCCCUCCUCAAUAGGCUUUUGAUGGCCGGCAACUGCCCUUAGGUGUCCCGCCAUGUGUAUUUCUUCCUCAUGCUGUUUAAUUUUUCAUAUUUUUUAGAAAUGCACUAGGGUUUGGUGAAAUUAUGAAAUUGCCCAUAAUGAGGCCUUAAUCACAAAUUCAAUCUAGAUUUCCAAUUUCAACACAUCACUAUCAUCUGGAUGAUCACAUGUUUAAAUAGAUUAAUUAGGCUUUAGGAUCAGAUCUUAGCCCUUGGAUCAAACCGAUAGCUAAGAUUUAACCUUGAGGGAUGUCAUAUAUACCAUUUUCCCUCCAAAACUUGGGAGGCUCAUCUGUGCAUUUUUCCAGAUCUUGAAAUAUCUUUCUCUCGCUCUCUUGAAUCCUCUCUCUACCCCCUUCAUUAGCCAUUGUUACACGCUGGAGCCCCCAUUAAUGACGCUUUACCUUCAGUAACCUCCUUCAGCCUCCCUCCUUUGUCACUGUGGUCGUCCAACGCCCCAAAGAUAGCUUUCCAUCCAGCCUCUUCUUCUCGUGGUCCUCCUCAUUAGCAUCCAAGUAGGGGGUGAUUCUAUCGAGUUCAGCAGCUCCGAUCGACGGUCUGAUGCCCCUCCUUGACAAUUUGACUCUCGUCGAUCACUCCUCAAGUGUGCCCCCAACCCUCCAAUGGUCGGGGCUUCAUUGGAAAGCCAUUGGAGGAGCUUCAGUGGCCUGUUUCUCCAGGUUGGUGCAGAUCAGGGUCUAGCCAGAAUUGAACCUUUUUAGCCGCUAAUUGGUGGCUGUUUUGGCAAUGAUCUGACCCAUCUAGGCGACACUCAAGCCCUUAGGAGUCCCGUCAACAAUCAUAGCUUGCUGCAGUGGUCCGAUUUUUUUUUUUUAUUUGAGUUCAGUUUGUCAAAAAUUGCACAAAGGUAAUCAUUUAUUCCCAAGCUCAAAGAAGUGAGGUCUCAUUCGUUGACAAGGGCUAGAGCUCACACUUAGGACUAAUUUGAUGAUGAUUAUGCCUAUUAUAGGAUGUUUAGGAUGAUUUAGAAUGGAUGUGGAUGAUUGACGAUGGCUUGAAUAUGGCUAAUUGCUUGAUUGAGUUUGUUCUACAAUUUUCGGAUGCUAAGAUGAUUGAUCUAAGAAAUGACUUGAUAUCAACUUGUAAAAGUAGUUUUCAGUGUUCAAAGUCUUCAUAAAAGUUGAAGACAGUUCGAAUACUUUCGAAAGAGCCAUAGAACGACCCCAUCGGGUCUUGUUUGAUAUGGUUUUCGCAAACUCAAAAUCAAGUCUAGAAUCUAUCAUAUGGUUGCUGAUAUGUUGAGUUACGGUCUACGCUAUUUGUCGAUUUUUUGCUGAUUUUUAUGCUUUGAUUUUGAGGUUGAUUCCUUCAUGAAAGUUUCUCAAAAUUGUCUUGAUUAUGACAGAUUCUUUUUUCAGAUUUUUUUUGGAAUAGAUCUGAUUAGGAAAAUCCUCAAACAAUUGUCCACAUGUUGAUUUGUCCUAUUUGAGCCCGAUGAAUGUUUGCUUAGAAAGGAGCUAGUAGACUUGCUUAAUCGGAUUUUCAUCCUUCAUGAAAGUCGUGGUAUAUUUCAUAAGCUUUCCGACAAGAUAUAGAUUGCAAAUCUAUGAUGUUAGAUGUUUUGCCCUGUUAUUAUACCGAGGAAGAUCAUUACUGUAUUGUGCAAACCCUGCUGCAUUUAUGACUGGUUGUGUCUCUAUGAAAAUGUCUUCGAUUGAGCUCCUUAAGAGCAUAUUGAUGCGUGAUGUCUUCUAGACAUAUUUAGAAAAUAUUAUAAGUUUCGAAACAAUGUAUGACACACAUCAUUUGAAGGUAAUUUGCUAUAUGAAAUCCACUUGCCAAGUUGAUACAUUACUUCUGAAAAUUUCAUAUAUUCUGUCAUGCAUGCUUCUUAGUGAUAAACUACAAAUUUCUCCGUCCCAUUUAGCCCUAUGUCAUGUUUGAAUGUCAAAAUUUUCAUACAUCAUUUUGGUGAUUUAGCAAGCUUGUUCUCAUGUAUCACGUUCUGCCAUAUUUAUCGUUGAUUUGCACACUUCUGUAAAUGUCAUCACUUGAGCAUGAACUUAACCUUAAUCAAACUUGAUAUCUCAUAGAAAAUCUUAAUGCAUAUCUUAAACUUUCUAACGACACCAACUUUGCCUAAUUUGCGUAUCAUUUGAUUCAUUUUCCAUUUUUGUGAAGUUUGCUCCAAAAUCUACCAUGAUCGAAAUUCGGAAUGCUUGUUCUGCCUUUAUUGAGUUAGAUCCUUUGACAUUUCUGUGUGAAUUUUUUAGUAAAGAUUAUGAGGUCGAGCUUAUAAUGGAAUUUGUUUGUUAUCUAUAUGUCUAUGUUGUGAUGAAUUUUCAGAAUUUUUAGACAAGGGUUAAUGGUUCAAAUUGCCAUUGCUUUAUCAUGAUGUUCUACUACCCUAUUCUAUUCUUGAUGUAUUGUUUUGUGUUCUUGGAUUUUUAUAAAUUUAUGUGUAGUUUAUCUUAGAAAACUUACUUCGGGGAAAUUUUCCUAAUUUCUUUUUUGAUGUGUUGUAAUUUUCUUAGGAACAAUUAUCCGCGGGUCCUACUCCAAUUGCUUUGAUCUUGAUUGCCCUAAUGGAUGUUUACUAUUAUAAUUCUUUGCUGCAAUUUUGUUCUAGGAUUUUUUAAAAUGUCUUACAUGCUGAAUUGGGAUUAGGUAUCUUCACAAGUUUUGAUCCAUGUUCCAAUCUUCAUACACAAGAAUUCUUAAAAGAUUAUAUAUAUUAAUGUAAAGAUUGAAGGCAAUAUAUAAGAUAUAAAAUAAGAGUAUGCAUAAACAAAAACCAACCAUGAAGGUAGUAUGAACUUGUAUUAUAUAAAGCUGAAAAGCUGAAAAGCUUAAAUUACAUGUAUUGAAAGAUGCAGAAACUAAAGCAUCAAGUCAUCUACUAGGGUGGUAAUCCGCACUCCAGGGAGUAUUGAUGUUUGUAUUACAAUUGAAACCAGGGGAUACAAGGUAAGAGAGCUUGGAGAUGGAAGAGAUGGGGUUGGAGAUGGAAGGGAUGAUGGUUUACAAGUUACAAGGUAAGAGAGCUUGGAGAUGGAAGAGAUGGGGUUGGAGAUGGAAGGGAUGAUGGUUUACAAGUGAGAGAGAGAGAGAGAGAGAGAGAGAGAGAGAGAGAGAAGGAAGAGAGAAAUCUGGAAAAUUUCGAGGUCCCCUUCUUCUAUGUCGAGAGGGUGUAUUUAUAGGGGGAUCUACAAUGAAAGUGC
RNAcentral lists this long non-coding RNA (10550 nucleotides) under Eucalyptus grandis. RNAcentral's name for it is "long non-coding RNA (EGRA_LNC002309)". Lineage: Eukaryota; Viridiplantae; Streptophyta; Magnoliopsida; Myrtales; Myrtaceae. The record is from RNAcentral.